GGCGGGACGGAAAACGCGGCCUGGAUCGCGCGGUGGCCGCCUCCGCUCCAGGCGCGCCGCGCCGCGGUAGCCAAAAAUGCGAGGAGGAACAUCUGUAACGCAUUUAAGGGAUGUUCACCUUUGAGACCGCGCCGCUGGAUGGAGGCGAGUUUGGCCAACCCAGUCCGAGGCCAUGCCUCCAUCCCUGGUGUACGGGAGUUUCUUCCAGUUGGACCCAACUCAUCUCUACCUCCCUGCUCAUUCGUCGCAUCUGUUCUUACAUGCACAGCUUGGGAGAACGGGACAGAGGUUCAAGCUCCCUGCCUCUUCCCCGCAGCUGGAGGAGCUCAGGACAGGCCAACUCACUUCCACUGGCCCAAGUCAACCCCAUGUGGAAGACGGAGCCUGACACGGCAGGGCAGCUGGACGGGGUCCUUGAUUGUAUGGGCCCUGGCAUGUCCCAUCCAACGUGGACCCUGCAGCCAUGCAGGUGACUUGCUUGGCUCCGCCUUGCUUGUCCCAAGAGGCUGGUUCUGGCACCAGCUGUCACUGAACAGUAAACAACCGGCACCAAAAACCCCCUAAGAAGUUUAAGAUAAGAGACACCCCUUCGGGGAAGGAAGAACAAAACCUAACAGGAAGCCAAGUGGGUAAACCGUUACUGGUGUCGAUGUGAGGGUUGCAUCUCUCUGUCCCAGGCUGGAGACGCUGUGCUUUUGGCUCUUGGGCUGGCCUGGGAUGGGGGCAUCACAGAGAGGGGAUCGAGGUACACCUGCCAGGGGGCGGGGCUGGGGAGCUGAGCGACUGUCAUUAUCAUCUCCUCCCGUGAUGCUCUGGGUCCUGCCCAGGUCCCUCCAAGUGGCACGUGAAGGCAGUGACUGGGAGUGGAGGCCCCGAGGCCAGACUGGUCACUGUGUGGUUGCUGAGUGUCCUUGAGAAGUCAGUGACCCUCCUGAGUCCCCUGACUUUUCUGAACGUACCCCCUCAACCACGUCACGGGGGUGCUGAGAGGACUCACCAAGAUAACUCAGGCCGAGAGGCUAGCUCGGUGCCUGCCAUACGGUGAGCACCAUGGCUCAGCAAGGCUUGAGGAAAGGCUGGGUGGUGCACUUUGCAGACCUGGAACUGGGUGAGGAAAAGAAAAAAAGAAUUCCUUAACCAUCUGGAGCUGGGGCAAAUUUCCUGGAGAAGAAGCCCUCCAACCCCCAGCCUGGACACCAUCAUCUCAGAGGAAAAGGAGAGAGAGAGAGAGGUCUUAAUCAGAGCUUGAGAACUAUGAAUCAAGCACUUUA
This is a long non-coding RNA of Capra hircus (goat), 1271 nucleotides long. RefSeq lists it as uncharacterized. NCBI's taxonomy places the organism in Eukaryota, Metazoa, Chordata, Mammalia, Artiodactyla, Bovidae. The record is from RefSeq and is a predicted model, not a curated record. The transcript has 3 exons.